This 6776-nucleotide unclassified non-coding RNA is filed under the name Limulus polyphemus (Atlantic horseshoe crab). RNAcentral describes it as "kinesin-like protein KIF21A, transcript variant X4". Lineage: Eukaryota; Metazoa; Arthropoda; Merostomata; Xiphosura; Limulidae. The record is from RNAcentral.
CUCUGUAUGUUGUCUAAUGCGGUACAAAUUUUGCGGUAUAUGUGGUGGGUUGUUGCUUUUUGAUAUAAAGUGUUUUUGAAGAUAUGCAGUUGAUAUUUAAAAUUUAUAGGCGCUAAAAUACUACUUGCUGGUUUCCAUUGGGCAAAUCAUACCGAAUUAUGGCUGGUGACACAAGUGUUAAAGUUGCAGUAAGAAUCCGUCCUCAGGUUUCACGGGAAAUCAUUGACAUGUGUCACAUUUGUACAUCGGUGUCUGCGGGAGAUCCUCAGGUCUGGUUGGGUAAAGAUAAGGCUUUUACAUUUGACAGCGUUUUUGACAUGCCAACUUUACAAGAAGAUGUCUAUAACACAUGUGUGAAGAACCUGAUAGAUGGAUGUUUUGAGGGAUAUAAUGCAACAGUCUUCGCCUAUGGCCAGACUGGUUCUGGAAAAACGUACACCAUGGGUACGGGCUUUGAUCUCAAUCUUAAUGCUGAGGAAAGAGGUAUUGUUCCACGAGCUGUUGAACAUUUGUUUAGGGUUAUUCAUGAACGACAGCAAGAAGCACGAGAAAAAGGAGAACCACCACCAGAAUUUAAAGUGACCACUCAGUUUAUGGAGCUUUAUAAUGAAGAAAUCAUUGAUUUACUGGAUGCAGCAAAAGAAUCUGAUGAAAGAAUGAAAAGGUCACACAUCAAGAUACACGAAGACUCCAAAGGAGAUAUUUAUACAGUAGGGGUGACUACACGUAAUGUUACUUCCCCAGAAGAGACUCUCCAGUAUUUAAAAGUAGGAGCCUUGUGUAGAACAACGGCUAGUACAAAUAUGAACGUUCAAUCAUCUCGUUCACAUGCCAUUUUUACAAUACAUGUUAAGCAGCAGCGUGUUGUCACUUUUGAACCUCAUUUAUCUCUCUCUUCUGAUGAGAGUACAGAGAUAUCAGCUCCAACUCAGAAUGGUGAGGUGAUGAAUGAAUUUGAAACACUAACAGCUAAGUUUCAUUUUGUGGAUCUGGCAGGCUCAGAGAGGCUAAAGAGAACAGGGGCAACUGGAGAUAGGGCUAAAGAAGGAAUCUCAAUCAACUGUGGACUUUUAGCUCUUGGAAAUGUCAUCUCGGCACUAGGGGACAAGUCACGUAAAGUCACUCAUGUUCCAUACAGAGAUUCUAAACUUACAAGGUUGCUUCAGGAUUCUUUAGGAGGAAAUAGUCAAACUUUGAUGAUAGCCUGUGUUUCUCCAUCUGACCGGGACUUUAUGGAAACCCUAAACACAUUGAAAUAUGCCAACAGAGCUAAAAAUAUCAAAAACAGGGUAAUGGUAAAUCAGGAUAAGUCUAGUCAAACAAUUACUCUGCUCCGUCGUGAAAUCCAGCAGCUUCAGUUAGAGCUAAUGGAGUAUAAACAGGGGAAGAGGAUUGUUGGAGAAGAUGGAACAGAACAAAUAAAUGAUAUGUUUCAUGAGAAUACAAUGUUGCAAACUGAGAACAAUAACUUGCGAACUCGUAUCAAAGCUUUACAAGAAACGGUAGAAAGACUGAAUGUGAGGAACUCUGAGUUGCUGGCAGAAAAGGAAAUGGGAACAUGGAUUACAUCAGGAGAGAGUUCAUCACAGCCAGAUAUUACAGGAAUGAUACAAGGCUAUCUCAGAGAGAUAGAAGAUCUCAGGGCUAAGUUAAUGGAGUCUGAAGGGAUGUGUACUCAGCUUCGGAGACGUGUCCAACGAUCACCAAUUCGUCAGCCGCUAAGUCCAACUUCAGUUGCUGUAUCUGUUGUAGGCCAAUAUGAUAUUGGAGUUGAUGCUGAGCCAACAUCUGUCUAUGAACUUUUAACUGAAGCAAAACGAGAUGUACAGAAGCUGAAAAAGAAAACCAAGGUUUUAAAAGAAACUGGGGAAAAAGAAAGCGGAGUAAGUGAUAACACUGUUGAAGAAGAUGGGGAGAAAGAAGAGAAAGAUGAAGAGAUUCAGGAUGGAAUUGAAGAAAAUGAAGAAGAUGAAAGUUCCGAGACAGAUACAGAGGAUACUGCACCAGAGGACUAUAAUGAAGAUUUGGCUGAUUUGACUUGUGAAAUAAGCAUCAAGCAAAAACUGAUUGAGGAGUUAGAGAACAGCCAACGUCGCUUACAAACAAUGAGACAGCAUUACGAAGAUAAACUGCAGCAGUUACAGAAUAAGAUUAAAGAUACAGAGCUAGAGAGAGACAGAGUUCUAGCAAACAUGACAAAGGGUAUAGGAGUGCAGUCACAUGAUAAAAUUAAAAAGGUACAAGAGGAAUUUGAGAAGAAAAUUGGUGCUCUUCAGAGUGAGUUAAAGAAGAUGCAAUCAGCAAAGAAGGAACAUGCGAACCUGAUGAAGAACCAAGUUCAAUAUGAACGACAGUUAAAACAGCUGCGACAAGAAGUUGUAGACAUGAAAAAGGCCAAGGUACGUUUAGUGAACAAAAUGAAAGAUGAAAGCCAGAAACAUAAGAUGCAAGAACAGCGUAAGAAUAAAGAGAUUGCACAACUAAGAAAGGAAGGUCGAAAGCAUGAAAACAAGAUUCGAACCCUAGAAGCAGAAAAACGAAUGAAAGAAAUUGUGUUACGUAGGAAACAGGAGGAGGUAUUAGUCCUAAGAAAAAGGAAUAAACCUAUGUCUGCUAAGGUUGCAGGAAAAAUUGGAUGGGCAAGGCAUUCAUCUGCUGUAAGAAGUCUUCCUUUUUCUCCGAAAGUAGCUAAGCAGAAGUGGCAGCAUCUAGAAAAGAGGAUCAUGAAGGUGGCUUUAAAUAAGCAGAGUGUCUCAAAUGUGGAACGAGAAAUGGAAAAAUGGUUGCAGGAAAGAGAGAAGCUUGGACAUUCUUUAGAAAAAGUCUGUAGAAAAAGAGACAGAGCAAUAUUGGAUGGAAAGGGAGAAAUAGUGAUCCGAGACCUAGAAGAUGAACUUGAAAACUUAAAGGCCAACAUUGAUUAUGUCCAUGAAAACAUCUCUGAAUGCCAGACAAGUAUCAUGCAAAUGGAGGAGUCCAAGGAGAGUGAUGACUUGGAUGAUUUAGAUGUAAACAGUGUCUUAGCCAAUUUACAGAUGGAUGAAGCAAGGUAUCUUUUACAGAAACUGCUGAACAUGGCUAUCAACCAGAGCUUCCAAGUAGCCCAGAAGGAAACCAUUGUGAAGGAGAUAGAAGCCAAACUAAAACAGGUGGUGAACAGUAAUGCUGUUCAGCAACAACUUCUGCAGCAUGUUUUACACCAAGCUAAUGAAGAACUAUACAAUUAUGUUAUGGCAACUGUAGAACCAGAUCAUUUAGAAAGUGUAGAGACAUCCCGAUCAAGUUCACCCUUAGAUAGGAGUCUAAGCCAGGAGUCUGAUGCAGUGAAUACAGACACGCUUGGGAGGAGAGAAAAGGUUCGGCGGCGAACAGCAACUACACAGGAAUUAUUGUAUCCAUUAAGUGCACAGGCUUCUAGUGAGUCUGUGGUGCUGUCCGUGCCUAUGAUAGAAGAAGAAUCAGAAAGCCUGUCAUCUUCUAUAAGACAGCAGGAGUUCACUUUUAGCUACUGGCAGAAAGAGAACAUGAUGACUCAAAGUGUCCUCAUGCCCCCUCCUCCACCCCCCGUUUCAGAGGAGAAAAGCAUACCUCGAGUAAUCAGUGCUCCUGGAUCCCUCAAAGAUAUGGCUGCCAAGUUUAAACAUGAUCCAUCUCCUGCUCUGAAACACAAGACGUAUGACAAAAUUCCUCCAGAAAUAUCACCCGCCAUUCGUCGUAAAAAUGCCAGUAAUACCUCUUCAACAUUGGUUCUACAGCAGAACUUUGUUGAAGCUAGCUCUCACCUCACCAUUCCCGAUUCUCCUCCUGUUGGCCGACGUCAGCCGGGAGACAACGUUUUCUCUCGGCUUACAAGUGGCACCACUACUAACAAUCGUAAACCUGAUAGAGGAUGUAUUAACCCUUAUACUGGUAGGCCCUUAAUGGGGAAAAAUGCUCCAUUGGUAUGCACUUAUGUAGCAGAAGGUCAUAGCAAAGCUGUCUUGUCUGUGGUAGCCACAGAUGAUGUGCUUUUUAGUAGUUCCAAAGAUCGCACAGUCAAAGUGUGGGAUCUCCAGACUUUAAAAGAGAUACAAACACUUGGUGGCCAUCCGAAUAAUGUAGUAAAAGUGCGCUAUUGUGAGUACAGUAGGCUAGCGUUCAGUGUUUCCACAGCAUUUGUUAAAGUUUGGGAUAUCCGAGAGAAGCCAGCACAUUGUGUGAAGACACUAAGUUCAUCUGGAUUAACCAUUACUGGACCAAUGCAGAUUAGCACCCCAUCCAGGACCAUACAGAUGCCUCAGGGUGAAACACAGAUAAAUGAUAUUUCUCUGAAUCAGUAUGGGACACUUUUGUUUUCUGCAGCAGGCAACAUUGUUCGAAUAUGGGACUUAAGAAUGUAUCAUACCAUAGGCAGAUUGACUGGAGGUCACCAAGCAGCAGUAAUGUGUCUAGCUGUUGAUGAUUUAGGAGAAGAUAACAAUGUUGUCAUUACUGGCUCAAAAGACCAUUAUAUAAAGGUAUUUGAAGUCAUGGAAGGUGCUAGUGGUGUCCUUACUCCUAAACUUAACCUUGAACCUCCCCACUAUGAUGGAAUCCAGUCACUUGCUAUCAAUGGUGACUAUCUAUUUUCUGGCUCACGAGACAUGUGCAUCAAGAAAUGGGAUCUCGGCGGCCAGUGUUUAGUGCAGUCACUGAACCAAGCUCAUAAAGACUGGAUAUGUGGUUUAAGCUUUCUUCCAAACAGUAACACCCUGGUGAGUUGUUGUCGUGGUGGGUUUAUGAAGUUGUGGUCUGGAGACAGUUGCCAGUUGUUAGCUGAAUUAAAAGCACACAGUGCUCCUAUUAAUGCAAUUGCAACCAAUUCAUCAUUUGUCUUCACAGCCUCAAAUGAUAGUACUGUGAGGUUGUGGCACUUGCGUACCUUGCCGGAAAUGAGUGAUUUUGAAGAUGAGAGACUUUAACAAAACAUGCAAAGAAUACCCCAAGCAAGAUUCAAUUACUAGAGAAGCUACUAAUUUUCCUGUGGGAACAAAGAAGAAUCUAAAGUUGCACUUGGCUUCUUCAAUAAAAGUCAAAGUGUAAAAUGUAUAAAUCAUGAUGAGGGAUGGUGUAAACCAAAUAGUGUGUGGGACUAGUGCAGUUAAACUGGACAUUAUUAUUUAAAAAAAGCAUUUGACUGUACAUAUGAAGAACAUAAUACACCUGUAUGAAAGAUGAUGUUUCUAUUUUUGUUUUCCUUUUAAAAAUGAGUGAAAAAAAAAAGUUCAUUUUUAAGAUUAUAUGAAGUGUGUGUGUGUUUAAGAAACGCUAUUGGUUUUCACACGUUCCAUAAAAAAAUUUACAUUAUAGUGGGAAUGUAACUGAGGGUUGUCUGGUAAGAAGCUACUUUUUCAAAUGUUUUAUUUCUUGCUUUAAGCUAUUACAGUUACGAUAAUGUGAAUUUCCAGAAUUUUAAGCAUUAACACUUUGUGUACACAAUAUUUCUUCAGAGUGGAUAUUUUGUUCCUAGCAUAGAAAAAUAAGCUAAAACUAAUGUAAUUAACAUACAUAGAAUUCUGAGGAGUUUGGCAAGAUAUUAUUCAUAUGUCCUCUGUUAUCAAUAUGAAAUUUAGGAAUAUUGAAAAGAGUAGGUCUUCAUGAUUUCCCUCUGGAAUAUAGACUUAAUUAUUUAAAAUUCCAAAUUCAGAAGCUGCAUUCUACUUUGCCUUAAAUUUGAAUACUAAGUAAUGCUAAUUUUUAACAAUUAAAUUUUUUUAAUUUUCUUUGAGAUAUAAGCUAUUGUUAUUCCCAAAACUUCAAAAUUAAAUUUCUGUUCUUAUGAAGCAGAAGACACAGUUUGAGUAUCAUAAAAUUCUAAUCACCAAUUUCUUGUAAUCUAUGGCAAAAUUAUAAUUUUUUACUAAUCCAUAGACUAGUUAGUGAAAUCAUUGGUUAAACUGACUAAAAGUCAGGGUUAAGAGUAAAAAUAUAAUUGAUAGUGUUUUCCUAUGAUUCUUUUUCCCUGAUGAUACGUUAACUCAGUUAAAACAAUUUUAUCUUGACCCUGAAAUUUAGCCAUGUUUAACUCUCAGUUUAUUGUAAAGAAUGUCUCAAGUUUCAUUGCACUUAUAUUUUUUGUGGUAAUACUAAAGGUAUUAACAAAUUUCAUGUUCAAACAAGAUAUGAUGUUAGAAGUUGUAGAUUUAUUUAAGUUACUUUGAAACUUUUUUUAUUGAGCAGGGUUCAAAUUUUCCAACACAAGCAAUUUUUACACAUGAUUGUACUAGCAGAAAAUGUUAUGAAAUUCCUUGGUGGUGGAAUUUCAUGAUAUUAUGGCCAGAAAUAUUGUUAACAGGAAGAUUACCCACCGAAUGAAACAAUUAAUUCUAAUCUUUUUUAAGUAGAAAUGUAAGAGAAGUUUAUGUAAUCAGCUAUACUAAUGGCCAGGUUGAUUUUUAAUUUUGCUUUUAGUACAUAGCUUGCUCUGAUUGAAAGUUAUUAUUAAUAAACUAAUACUUAAAUGACAAAAUUUCUGAGGGUAUUUUAGCAUAGCUACCAAUAAACAAAACAGUCAAAAAAGUACUUUCAAAGUAUAAAUGUAUUAUAAAAGCCAUCACCAAGUUUCCAAUAGUGAAAUGCAUAAUUCGUCCAAAUAUAUUUCCAGGACACAAUUUUAAGAGAAAUUGGAAUAAUACCAAUUAUUUCUGGCAACAAUAAAAAAAAAAAAAAUCUUUAAUCUUUCUUUGUUGCCCAUCAUAUCUUCAUAUUCAGCAAAUAUUUUAUUGCAAUAUAAGGUAUAUCGAUCAUUAAUUUUUUGC